UGAUACGAUGCGCUGAAUCCGGCAUGGAGCGGGGGACCCGAUUUGGCAGCGUCUGCUGUCUUGGGGUGAAUCCGAUCAGGAAGGGCAUCUCUCCAAGCCCGAACCCGACAGCUAACCUCGCAAGCGCUUUGGGGAGGGAAG
Molecule: small RNA, 141 nt
Filed under: Geobacillus sp.
Lineage: Bacteria; Bacillati; Bacillota; Bacilli; Caryophanales; Anoxybacillaceae
Description: c-di-AMP sequence
Rfam family: c-di-AMP riboswitch aptamer (ydaO/yuaA leader)
About the family: This family represents a conserved RNA structure found upstream of the ydaO and yuaA genes in Bacillus subtilis and related genes in other bacteria.
Source: RNAcentral